RNAcentral lists this ribosomal RNA (232 nucleotides) under uncultured bacterium. RNAcentral describes it as "partial 16S ribosomal RNA". It matches the Rfam family "Bacterial small subunit ribosomal RNA", at positions 89 to 338 of the family's 1533-position model. The record is from RNAcentral.
UGGGAACCGGCGUAAGGGGCAGUAAGGCAUGGGUACCUACCCUGAAGUUCGGGAUAGCCAUCAGAAAUGGUGGGUAAUACCGGAUGAUGUCGAGAGACCAAAGAUUUAUCGCUUUGGGAGGGGCCCAUGUGAUAUUAGCUAGUUGGUGAGGUAACGGCUCACCAAGGCAAAGAUGUCUAGCGGGUGUGAGAGCACGACCCGCGCCACUCGCACUGAGACACUGGCGAGACAC